ACUCUUCUGCGGGAAGGGCUUGGCGUAGACCGCGCACUGGAAGGCGUGCGCGCAGGUGUGCGUGACCAUGUGCUUGAAACGGCAGUAGCGCAGCGAGAAGGAUCGCCAUCACACGGCGCACUGGUGCGGCUUCUCCCCCGAGUGGAUGAACAUGUGCUUGGUGUCGUUUUUCCUUGAGCUGAACGUCUUGCAACAGUGGCCGCACGCAUAGCUGCCCCAGAUCCCGGAAGAAAAUCUCUCCCACACCACUGUAGUCAGAGAGGCCAGUGGGUGCAUGGAACUCCUCGCACGCGCUGUCAGCAGCAGCAGUGAGGAAGCCGGCAGCACAGUCUGGGAAGGAAGGAGGUGCUUGGCUCUCUCCCGGGCCGCCACCUUCGCCGUCCUCGCCAUCGGUCUCAUCGUCAGUUUCCUCGUCAUCGUUGUCACCUCGGUCGUCAGGGGCCGCGGACAGUGAGGGGUAGGCACCAAGCCCCUCGGCUUUGGCAGGUGUCGGGGGCGCAGGCAGCUGCAAACUCGCGGGCCGGCGCUGCUUACCGCUGUGCGCGGCACCGGGGUGCCCCGGGGGUGCGCAGCCAGCAGGUGGCGCAGGCGGUGACGCAGCUGCUCAGGUGCGAGUGGCGGGGGCACAGGGGUGGGCAGGGGCGCGGGUGCAGAGGUGCUCGCGGGUGCAGAGGAGCGCGUGCGAUAAUCUGCGUGCAUUCGUCGAUAACUGUCUAUGCGAAGCACCGACGCAGCCAUGAGUACCUGCGGGGCUUCACUCUGUGCCACAACGAGCGAACCGCUGUACAGGAGCUCGACUAGCUGUCGCACCGUCUGCACAGGCACCACCGAAGGCACACGGAUCUCAGAGGGGCCGAGCAGCAGCUUGUCUUGGAAGGAGGGCGAGCCGAUUGCCAGCCCGCAGCGGUGCGCACGCAGCGAAGCUUCAUGAAUGCACACAGUCACGUCGCAGAAGUGCCCACCCAGCUUCUGCCCAUUGAGGGUCUCAAGCAGAGAGCGUGAGAAGUUCUGCAGAUGUAUGUGGCGCACAGCCUCUACAGCCGCCGACUCCGACUCCUCUUCAGGCACCAGGCCUGGCCGUGGCCGCCUUCUCACCGACUCCAAGGCAGCACUUCCGGGCGCUUCUCUUUAUUUUUAUACAGUUUUAUUGAGAUAUAAUUUACAUGCUAUCCAGCCCAUCUAUUUCAAGUGUACCAUGCAAGGGGUUUGUAUAUAUUCACAGAGUUGUGUAUCCAUCACCAUCGUUUUAGAACAUUCAUCACUCCAGAAGAAACUACUACCCAUCAGCAGCCACUGCCCAUUUCCCUGAUCUGCCCCGCCCUAGGAAAUCCGUAAUCACUUUCAGUCUAUGGAUUUGCCUAUUCUAGACCAUUCAUAUAAAUGAAGUCACACAACACUGGGUCUUAUGUGACUGGCUUCUAUCAAAGUUUGCAAGGUUCAUUUAUGUUCAUGCUGAUGAUAUAAACUGGCUCAUUUGAUGCCAAGACUGACCAUCACCACCAUACCAAGGUCAUCACUGAUCAGAGGCCUAACCCAAGGAGGGGGUCAUGUGCAGACCCAGCUGUGGGGAGGAAAGAUGCUGCAGAGGAGACGGAUGCCCACAGAGGCCCCUGAGUGGAUACAAUGCUCACUAAGUGGGCUGACCCCACAUUGGACACCGCUGCAUCCAUGUCCAUCACACAACACAGCUGCCGUUUCUUCUGCCUGCUUAUGGGAAAGUCCCCUCUUCUCCUCCGUUUUCUUCUCUUCCUGCCCUAUCACACCGUGCACUUCUCCCUUUCCUUAAAGAACCACCAUCAACUUUAGGAGGAGGGAAAGGGGUGGCUCUGGCAGGAAAAGCCAGAAUCCCCUCUAGCCAGCAGAGAGAGAGAGGAAUGGCUGCAUGUUUUCUCCCCCAGUCCAAGGCACUGGGUCUUGGCUGGGUUGAAGGUUCCAAGCUGCUCUCCUGCUGUGUCGGUGAGUUCUGGUCAACCUGCAACCUCCUGAUAUGGCCAUUGCAGUUCAUCGAGUCUUCAGGGACUCCCCAUGGCCUGGAGUACUUUGCCUUGCUUACACGGGAGAGGAGAAUGGAUUUAUAGAGAACAUCAUCUAAAUCCAACUUGACCAUUGUGUGGCCACACUUGCUAGAUUGCUAUAGUCUAAAUCUAGCAUUGUAGAAAGACGGGGGAGCUUGGAGCUGCACAAACCCAGGUCUGGAACUGGCUCCUUACCUUGGAAGGUGAAUGAUCCUGCCAGGACUCUUAGCCUCCCUGGGUCUCAAUUUCUUUAUCUGUUUCAUGGGAAUGAGGAUCUCUGCUGGGUGGUUGGGUGAUGUGGGGGCUGUGUGAAAACAGCUUGUCAAUACAAGCCAAAAUAGAAAUAUUUCUCCACAGAGUAUGAAGGUCAAAUGAGAGAAUACAUUUAAAUUAAAUGGAAAAUUAAAAUGGUAAAAAAUGCAAAGCUGUAUUGAAAGUUCCGAGCUUCUCUAUAAGGAGCUUUUUGACUAUGUAAGAAUCCUGUACUCGUUCCCCCUAAAUAU
RNAcentral lists this long non-coding RNA (2518 nucleotides) under Homo sapiens (human). RNAcentral's name for it is "non-protein coding LINC01106:6". Lineage: Eukaryota; Metazoa; Chordata; Mammalia; Primates; Hominidae. The record is from RNAcentral.